Papaver somniferum (opium poppy) is the source of this 2122-nucleotide long non-coding RNA. RefSeq lists it as uncharacterized. NCBI's taxonomy places the organism in Eukaryota, Viridiplantae, Streptophyta, Magnoliopsida, Ranunculales, Papaveraceae. The record is from RefSeq and is a predicted model, not a curated record. The transcript is spliced from 5 exons.
UAUGUGUUUUGGUAAUGGAGACCUCAAAUAAGGCUACUGCAUCUCCGUCUUCAAAAUCAUCAAAUUUGAUUAUAUUUGCUAGAUUAUCUAGUCUUCUAGUUGCAUGCUAGUUCUUGUUUGGGGUCUUUCCUUUCGAUCAAAUUUCCUUUCUCACACCUCAUCAACUCACAAUGCUCACAUCUACUCUGUUCUUCAUUAUCUUGUAAUGGUGAUAGGUUUUGUAAUCAUCAGCGGAGAAGCAAUAUUGGUGCAUAAAUGCUGUCCAGGGUCGAAAAAUUUGAAGAAAUUGGUACAUCUAACUAUGCAAGAAGUUGCUUUGGCAUCUGGCAUUUUCGGAAUUCGGGCAAACUUUUAUCUAAUUCUGUAGUUUACAUUUUUGGAUGGGUUUGAUCUGUAUCUCCUUGUUUGCUGCUCAGGUUGGUUCAACAUUGACACAAACCAUAUCUUUUUGGAGAUAAGUAUUGUCUUUUCAAUUGACGAUCAGUAACUCAUGCGAUUUUAAGCUGACAGGUUAAAGCAUUCUUCUGCUUUUUUGUUGUUUAAUUUUUAUGCUGGAAAAGUGAGUUGCUAUCCUAUGCACUCCUCCAUAUAUAUGUAGCUUGUAGUUCAGUAGAUCAAAAAUAUCUUGGAUAGUACAAGGAGCCCAAUAUUCCACAAAUAGGACUAGCUAUAGUUGUUUGAGCAUCAUUUUCCGUUAUUUGUGAAAUUUGAUUUAAGAAUAAUCUUUAGACAUCCCAGUAAUAGCAUAUGCUAACUGUGUGCGAAAGGAUAGUUUAUCGAAUCCUUUCAUUUCUGUUAUAUUAAUUAAAUUAAAACUAGCUGUGGUUUGUGCUUCCGAACCAAACAACACUUUCUAGUUUGAUUAGUGUACUCUCGUUGUCCUUAUCUCUUCUUCCUUUGUCCCUUCUCUCAUUUUGUUCCAAUGGUUGAUUUUCAUGUGAGACUGUUCUCCUUAUCAUCUAGAUCCUUAGAAAAUUCACAAGUUCUAAAAUCUCUUAGCCCCUUGAAAUGUAAUGAAAGAUCUCAGUUGUCAGAUAGUAGAAUGAUGUAUUCCCAAAGACUUUUGGUAUCAUUUUGGGGUUUAGAUGAAUUUUUUUGUGGUGGCUGUUGAGGCGAACACUCCCACAGAAAAUUAGGCAUUGAAUCUACAAGGCAAAAAUGAGAGGGAAAGUGGUAAAUGCAGAUUGAGCUUAUUUUUCCGGAUUAUAUUAGCAUGCUAUGUCGCACGUCGUUUACAAGAUGUCGGCAUUUGUUCACUGCUAAAUUUAUUGAUAUUGGAGGCACCUGAAUUGAAGAAUCCGCGAAAUAUUGGUUUCUGGAUUUGAUCGCACUGACUUCCAGGUUAAUCAGUGGUUAAUGGGGUUCUUUAGCUUUUGGCAUCAAGGAGAGGAGCACACCACAAGGAUAAGGGUGUUACCAGGACAUAGGUUCCUUUGGCUCUAUAUAUAUGCAUUAGCCAUUGCAACGGCUGAGACAGGUCUACUUGAGAAGCUCACAUUCUUAGAAGCAAAGAAGAAGGUUCUGAAACAUUCUCUGGAGUCGGUAGUGGUCAAUAGUCUAGGACUAGGAUUAUCUUUAGUUGGUGGUAUUGUAAUACUGACUGCUGUUUCUCCAGGGAAUCAAAGCAUUCCGACUAAAAUUGUAUAUCCAAGUCGACAUAUUGCAAUUAUGUUGUGCACGUCGUUGUUUAGUAUUUCAGUUCUUUGGUUGUGAUAAAAAUCAAGUCCCUGAAUCUCUUGUCGAUUUUCUUAACGACCAGAGAAUCAUAUUCGCCAGAGCUGGGAUCGAUGAAGCUGCACACAAGCUUUCGAUUGAUUAUGGGUUGAGUAUUGCAACAACUGAAGAUCUUGGAAGGUCAGCUGAAUCUAAGCUUGGUACACGAGGACUUUAUCAACUCGAUUUGAAUUCUUUAGUGAAUAUUGUGCUCGGAAAACAUCUGCAUCUUCAACCCAAGUUUACAAGGAUUACCUUCAGUAGAUGGGACAGGAAUACUUUUAAAGAACGAGGAUGCUUAUGCAAACUCGGUCUUUAUUUGUUGCGUCUUCCAGCCCCAAAACAAGUUUCCCCAAGAAACUAAACAGGCCCAAGGCGCUAGCGAAACUACCCCAGGCGCACAAAAGCC